ACGAACGCUGGCGGCAUGCCUAACACAUGCAAGUCGCACGAGACCUUCGGGUCUAGUGGCGCACGGGUGCGUCACGCGUGGGAACCUGCCCUUAGGUUCGGAAUAACUCCCCGAAAGGGGUGCUAAUACCGGAUAAUGUCUUCGGACCAAAGAUUUAUCGCCUUUGGAUGGGCCCGCGUUGGAUUAGCUAGUUGGUAGGGUAAAAGCCUACCAAGGCGACGAUCCAUAGCUGGUCUGAGAGGAUGAUCAGCCACACUGGGACUGAGACACGGCCCAGACUCCUACGGGAGGCAGCAGUGGGGAAUAUUGGACAAUGGGCGAAAGCCUGAUCCAGCAAUGCCGUGUGAGUGAUGAAGGCCUUAGGGUUGUAAAGCUCUUUUACCCGGGAUGAUAAUGACAGUACCGGGAGAAUAAGCUCCGGCUAACUCCGUG
RNAcentral lists this ribosomal RNA (432 nucleotides) under uncultured bacterium. RNAcentral's name for it is "partial 16S ribosomal RNA". It matches the Rfam family "Bacterial small subunit ribosomal RNA", at positions 29 to 507 of the family's 1533-position model. The record is from RNAcentral.